This 253-nucleotide ribosomal RNA is filed under the name uncultured bacterium. RNAcentral describes it as "partial 16S ribosomal RNA". It matches the Rfam family "Bacterial small subunit ribosomal RNA", at positions 524 to 776 of the family's 1533-position model. The record is from RNAcentral.
UACAGAGGUCCCAAGCGUUGUUCGGAUUCACUGGGCGUAAAGGGUGCGUAGGUGGUGAGGUAAGUCGGAUGUGAAAGCUCCGAGCUCAACUCGGAAAUGGCAUUGGAAACUACCUUGCUAGAGGGUUUGAGGGGGGACUGGAAUACUUGGUGUAGCAGUGAAAUGCGUAGAUAUCAAGUGGAACACCAGUGGCGAAGGCGAGUCCCUGGAAAACUCCUGACACUGAGGCACGAAAGCUAGGGGAGCAAACGGG